Long non-coding RNA from Passer domesticus (house sparrow), 402 nucleotides. RefSeq lists it as uncharacterized. The record is from RefSeq and is a predicted model, not a curated record. NCBI's taxonomy places the organism in Eukaryota, Metazoa, Chordata, Aves, Passeriformes, Passeridae. The transcript is spliced from 3 exons.
AUUUGUGGAUUUUUUCUGCCUCUGGUCCAACCUCAGCUGCCUAAGCACUGUCUUUGCUUAGCACAGUUUUCUGUUUAGCAUAACCAGCCUUGUCACAGAAAAGAAAACCCCAUUGUUUCUUGCAAGAACCUCUCCAGAUGUUCCCAGGAUUGGAAUCCACCCAUUCGUUGUGCCAGGAAUGCUUACCAUUUUUUUUCACAUCGAUGGAUAUAGAGGCUUCUCUCUGUGCCCUUCUACUUGUCUCCUGCUGCUUCAGAUGUGCAGAGUGUUUUUUGUGAAGGUUGCCUGACGUUUGGAGAAGUGAACAGGUCCUUGGUCAACACAUUGCUUGAAAUGUAUCAUGUAAAUUCUAUUUUGUUUUUUGUUUUUACCAUUUUGUAAACUAAUAAACUUUGAUACCAC